This 160-nucleotide ribosomal RNA is filed under the name Aphragmus oxycarpus. Its description in RNAcentral is "5.8S ribosomal RNA". It matches the Rfam family "5.8S ribosomal RNA". From Rfam's summary of the family: 5.8S ribosomal RNA (5.8S rRNA) is a component of the large subunit of the eukaryotic ribosome. It is transcribed by RNA polymerase I as part of the 45S precursor that also contains 18S and 28S rRNA. The record is from RNAcentral. Lineage: Eukaryota; Viridiplantae; Streptophyta; Magnoliopsida; Brassicales; Brassicaceae.
AACGACUCUCGGCAACGGAUAUCUCGGCUCUCGCAUCGAUGAAGAACGUAGCGAAAUGCGAUACUUGGUGUGAAUUGCAGAAUCCCGUGAACCAUCGAGUCUUUGAACGCAAGUUGCGCCCCAAGCCUUAUGGCCGAGGGCACGUCUGCCUGGGUGUCAC